UGGCGGACGGGUGAGUAAUGUCUGGGAAACUGCCUGAUGGAGGGGGAUAACUACUGGAAACGGUAGCUAAUACCGCAUAACGUCGCAAGACCAAAGAGGGGGACCUUAGGGCCUCUUGCCAUCGGAUGUGCCCAGAUGGGAUUAGUUAGUAGGUGGGGUAACGGCUCACCUAGGCGACGAUCCCUAGCUGGUCUGAGAGGAUGACCAGCCACACUGGAACUGAGACACGGUCCAG
RNAcentral lists this ribosomal RNA (235 nucleotides) under uncultured bacterium. Its description in RNAcentral is "partial 16S ribosomal RNA". It matches the Rfam family "Bacterial small subunit ribosomal RNA", at positions 96 to 334 of the family's 1533-position model. The record is from RNAcentral.